UACACACCGCCCGUCACACCAUGGGAGUGGGUUGCAAAAGAAGUAGGUAGCUUAACCUUCGGGAGGGCGCUUGCCACUUUGUGAUUCAUGACUGGGGUG
RNAcentral lists this ribosomal RNA (99 nucleotides) under uncultured bacterium. Its description in RNAcentral is "partial 16S ribosomal RNA". It matches the Rfam family "Bacterial small subunit ribosomal RNA", at positions 1384 to 1482 of the family's 1533-position model. The record is from RNAcentral.